CUUGAAGGUACAUCUUAAUUCAGUGAGCGAAUCCUUGAUUUUCCAAAAGGUUGAAGUGGAAUUGAUUUUCCACUUCUUGGUUUGCCCUUAUUUGGAUUGUUUCGUGGACGAUAGUUGAUUAAGGAGCUUCCCUAACUUUGAGGCAAAGGUAAUAAAGGCGACAAACCGGCGAGGGGCAGGAAGGAAGCGUGAUUGCCAUAGGGGAUAUUUUAAUUUGCUUCCGCUUAAUGUUUUGUUUCUCAUGUUUUGUUUUAGUUCUUGAGAUUGUUUAGAAAAUUUUAUAGUUGAACUGUAUUCACGAAUUAGUAAACUUUUCUUGAAAGUGUUGGCUAUUUUAAACAGGGCCCAAAUAUAAAUUUUUGUUUUCUUUGAGACUUUGAAAUUA
Molecule: long non-coding RNA, 385 nt
Organism: Cucumis sativus (cucumber)
Lineage: Eukaryota; Viridiplantae; Streptophyta; Magnoliopsida; Cucurbitales; Cucurbitaceae
Exons: 3
Source: RefSeq, a predicted model, not a curated record